Molecule: ribosomal RNA, 408 nt
Filed under: uncultured bacterium
Lineage: Bacteria
Description: partial 16S ribosomal RNA
Rfam family: Bacterial small subunit ribosomal RNA
Source: RNAcentral
GACGAACGCUGGCGGCGUGCUUAACACAUGCAAGUCGAACGAAGUGGCGAACGGGUGAGUAACGCGUAAUCAACCUGCCCUUCAGAGGGGGACAACAGUUGGAAACGACUGCUCAUACCGCAUACUGAAGGAGGGGACUGGGUCUGAUUAGCUAGUUGGAGGGGUAACGGCCCACCAAGGCGAUGAUCAGUAGCCGGUCUGGGAGGUGGGACGGCCACAGUGGGACUUGGAACCGGCCCAAACUCCUACGGGAGGCAGCAGUGGGGAAACUUCCGCAAUGGGCGAAAGUCUGACGGAGCAACGCCGCGUGAGUGAUGACGGCCUUCGGGUUGUAAAGCUCUGUUAAUCGGGACGCGGUACCGGAAUAGAAAGCCACGGCUAACUACGUGCCAGCAGCCGCGGUAAUAC